CAACCAACUUGGGAUCAGGUGGCACAUUAUUGCCUGUUUGCCUAAAAGUCUGGUCUGUCUGGCUUUGUGAAUAUUCUCUAACUCCAACAACCUGCCUUGUAUGAUGAAUUGUGUUGUGCUAGGGAUCCAACCUCAGGCUGUAUGCAUGGUAGGCAAGUCACUCUACCACUGAGCCAUACCUCUUACCUCUACAGUCUUGAUUCUGUAGUGAUUAUAUAGAAAUGCUACAUAUAAAUUCUAUUUAAUAUAUGCAAUUAAAGGUAGGUUAGAAGACACUUAGAUUAUAUUUGGUUUUCACUAUUUUAUGCAUAUGUAGCACUGGGAAAUAUUCUUUAUGUAAAAAUUGCAUAUUUUCAGGAUUUGGGCAUAAAAAUAAAUAUGCAUUCUUAUGUUUUCUGGUAACCCUUGAUUUCCAAACCAAUAGGUUGUGUGCUUUAUCUAAUUGUAUGUAUACGGGUGUUUUCCCUACGUGUAUGUCUGUACCACAUGGGUGUCUGGUGUUGGAAGAGGCUGUCUGAUCUCCUAGACAGUGUUCUAGACAGUUGUGGUUGCUGGAGACUGAACCUAGGUGGUCCCGAAAAGCAGCAGUGUUGGUAAUCACUGAGCCACUUCUCUAGCUCCAUCCCCUCCCUUGUUUAAACUUUUAGACUUUAGUAUACUGUUUUUAAGCACUAUGGGGUGUUUUUUUCCAUUUAGCCUAGGAGAAUUGAGUCCUUCACAAAGUAACUUUUGACUUAAACAAUAUGUAUAGCUUGUAGGUAAUUUAAUGUAAAAGCCAGAAAAGAGAUGUCAAAAGUCUUUAGAGACUUUCUGAUGGUAUACUGUGGUAGUCCUAUCAUUUACCAGGCUGAGUCAGAAUGAUUGUGUGUUCAAGACCUGUCGGGACUACUACCUAUUACAGCAAGACCCUGUCUGGACUGCAUAUUGCAACCUGUCUGGUUGUCAGGGCUAGCCUCAAACCUACUGUGUAGCCAAGUAUGACUUGGCCUUCUGAUAUUCCUACCUCUCCCAAGUGCUAGAAUUCUAGAAUGUGGUCCACCUUUUCCAUUUUACCCAGUGCUGGGUUUAACCCAGAGCUUUAUGCCUGCUAAGCAACUGAGGUACAUCCCCAUGUGUUGUGUGCCACUUUUUCUACUUUGGCUUGUGUGAUGUUUUUGUUGUUAUAUUGAAAUCUUCACUGUUGGUUGCCUAAAAUUCGUUGUCUAGCAGAGUUGUACUUUGCCUAGCUAUUCUCCCUAGGUUGCCCCUAAUACUAGCUGUUAUAAAUAGCUCUGUAUUGGAUGUCAUGCAUGAAAACCUUUCUGGCACUGUGUCUUAAGACACAUUUCAUGGAGCAAAAUUCAUUAAUCCCACAAGAAAUGACACACAAAGUUCUUAAUGCAUGGUGGUAGACACUUUUAAUCCCAAGAGACAGAACCAAACAAAUCUCUGUGUUCCAGGCCACCUAGGAGCACAUAGUGACACCCUGUCUCAAAAACAAAAAUAACCAUACCAGUUACAAGAAAGGCAGCAGUGGCUAAGAGUGCAUGCAUCGUGGCCACCCCACUGUUACUGAGCCAUGGUACUGUUAUAACAUCUUUGCUGCUUGAAGUGAUACUUUGGGGAUCUUUUGAGCCAGGAAUUGAAGGCCAAUCUGGGCAAUGUAAAGAAUGGGUCCCUGUCUCAGGGAGGGAGGGAAAGGAAAGAGGAAAAAGGAAAAGAAAAAAUAAAUCCUGUCUCAAAAAAUCAACAAAGCUAGCCAGGUAUGGUGGCUUUCUCUGUAGUCGCAGCACUUGGAAGGCGGAAGCUGCAGAAUCAGGAAUACAACAGAGUCAUCUUUGGCUCCUCGGAAAGUUUGAGGACAGCCUGGAGCUGUGAGGCCUUGUCUUUAAAAAAAAAGGAAAAGAUGGGACCGUGGAUGAAGUAAUACUCUGUCAUUGUUUUAAUAGUUGUAUAACUAUUACAAAUGCGGUCCAUUUUAUUAUGUUACUUCUUCUCAAAACAUGGGAAAUCAAUACCAAUAAACAAGGCUAUAAAUUAUAUCUAAAUAUUUCUAACAUAAAUUAUCCUGGUUCACGUUCUCUCCUCUUGGGUGCUAGACCCUGGUUUGUGUUAUGAAUAAACAUUACAUGUAAUUAUUUAGUCAAGACAUUUAAAACUUUGUUUAAUGUCUUGUUCUUCCUUUUCUUUUUGAGGUGAGCUACAUGAGGUGUCUUUCCCUAAAGCACAGAGUGGUGACUGGGUGAUACGUGUGGUUUGGGUUCGUGGAGAUUUGAGGUGCUUGUAGGUAACUUUACACAGACAAUUGUAUUUUUCAUCCUCAAAAGGAAAAUGUGUCACACAUAUCUGAGAAAAUAUAGGGAGUGGUACUUACAAGUGUGAGCUAACACUGAACUCUUAAAAACUAGAAAAUAUUAACAGCUUCAUUGUAUUUUGUUUUAAUCCAUUUAUGGGGGUGGUGGCAUGCUAUGGCACGAGUGUAGAAAUCACAAGGAAAUUUGCUGGAGUCUGUUCUCUCCUUCUACCUUGUGGUUUCCCAGGAUUCAGCUCAGGCUGCCAGGCUUGACCUUUAGCCAUUGUCCUGUCUCCCCAGCUGUAUAGUUUCUAUUUCAGCUAACUAUAUCAAAACACUAUAAACUAAUGGUAUCCCCGGUUUGUGCUAAUAUGAAAACUGAGGCCUGUGGUUGACAGGCCAAGAUUACAGGAUGAAUUUUCGAAAGCUCUAGAAGCUGCGUAUUAUUUUCAUUCACACGCCAGCCAUAGCAUUGCAGUGACAGUCUGUUUCUCCUUUCCUGCCCACAGGGGUAAUCUGGGUUCCCUAGUCUGUUCACCCUGUAGUCUUUUCUAGAGGCUUCUAAUAAACUAAAGCGCAUCGUGAGACAGGAUGUACUUUUUAUAAUGCUGGCCUUGGUAGAGAAUGGGGAGUGGUUAACUCUCAGGCUGUCCUAGCUACCUGGAGUAGGAUGCGUGUCAGUGUCAGCACACAUUUCAGUGUCUUGUCAUCCUAGCAGCCUCUGAUCUUAGAAUAUCCUUCACGGAAAGGGCUGGAUUGUGCUCUGGAUUUACAUAGCCAUAUUCUAAGGCAAGCCCCUGGAUAGCUUUUCUGAGCUGAGGCGAAAGCCCCAGGCUAGAGGAAAUAGCCAAAGACUUAACAGCUAGUGCCAGGAGAAACUCCAAGACCCAGAGAGAGAAGGGGCACUGAGGGAGCUUUGAAAGCAGCCUGGCAAGGUGGGCAAGACUCAGGGCAUGUAUCAUGUGGUGCAGUGAGACAGUAGAGCAAAAAGAACUUGACAGUUUUGCAAAAAAUAAUGAAAUGGCCAGUUGGGGGAAAUCUGUCUCCAAGAAAUAGCAUGGCAUUGGCAUCUUUAACAAAGUUGAAGUGGAAAAGAAUAGAAUAGACUGCUUGCUACCCAGGGUAGUUAGGAGCAACAUGUAAACAGCCAAGAUGGUCCCAGAGGAGUGAGCUUUAUUAAGCACCUGACAACCUGCUCCCUGUGUUGUUUAGAGCUGGUUUUGUGUGGCUUUAGUGUGGAUUUGGGUAGCUCUGCUUGUUGAGUAUAUCCUUGUUUUGAUGAGUGUGCAUAAUGGACAUGGUGAUGCAUGUUACUCUGUGUCCCAAGAGAUGUGUUCUGAAUUAGUAAUAAUGAGUACUGUGCACCUGUUUUUAGUUUGUGUUUGAGCUUCAUGAACUUUAGUGUAAAACUUUUGAGAGACAGAAAAUUGAAAGAGAGGUGUAAUUGUGGACCCCAACUGCCUCAAACUUCUUUAAGGAAAGCAACUUUUUUUUUCUUUAAAAUAACCAUUUAGUUAUGACAGGGAGGUUAUAAUUAGUAUAGUUUGAUCCUCAAACGAAAUAGUUUGUAUUGUUUUCUAGGUAUCCCGUUCCUAGGCUAAGGAUAUGGUAAGAGCUCAGGGAAGCAGCUUAGCAGACUUAGCUCUAUAAUAAUGUUUCAAGACCUUGUGUGGACUUGCCUUUAAUCCUGGUACUCAGGAAGCAGAGGCAGGUGAGUCUCUACAUUCAGGAACAGCCUAGUGGUCUGCAGAGUUCCCCCAACAGCCAGGGCUACACGGCCCUAGGGCCUUGCACCACUGACCCACAAUACCACCAGCCUGCAGAGUUUAUAAACCAUUUAGAGUGAUGAAAGCAACUUGGCAGAUAGGCUAUCAGAACAAUUACAAAAUAACACUUUAAAAAUCUACCUCUUCAGGAGUAGGUUUUAUUUUUUGUAAUGAUUGUUCCUGUUUUCUCACCCCAGUAUAUGAAUAUUCCUUUAGAGAUGGUCUGGUAUCUGCAGUGUGGUUCAAGACCCUGGGCUUGGGUUGGGGGUUUAACUCAGUGGUAGAGUACUUGUCUAGCAAGCCUAAGGCCCUGGCUUUGGUCUCCAUUGAGUCUUGAAUUUAGCUAUGUAUCAUUAGUUUUUGUUUUGGGUUUUUUUUUCCAAUCAGAUGAUUUACUUCAUGUUGGUAAUUUUUCAUUGCUGUGACUAAUUCCUGAACAAAUGAACUUAAAAGAAGAAAGACCUGUCUUGGCCAUUUUAUAGAUUCUGGUCCGUGCCCAUCUGGUCCCUUGGCUAUGGAACUUUGUUAAGGAGAAUGUCUUGUCAGCUAGAACCUGUGGUGGUUCUUUUGAC
Molecule: long non-coding RNA, 4610 nt
Filed under: Mus musculus (house mouse)
Lineage: Eukaryota; Metazoa; Chordata; Mammalia; Rodentia; Muridae
Description: long non-coding RNA chr4:131878627-131883237
Source: RNAcentral